Molecule: ribosomal RNA, 2378 nt
Filed under: Ophidiomyces ophidiicola
Lineage: Eukaryota; Fungi; Ascomycota; Eurotiomycetes; Onygenales; Onygenaceae
Description: eukaryotic LSU rRNA
Rfam family: Eukaryotic large subunit ribosomal RNA (bases 331-2378)
Source: RNAcentral
AUCAACACCCAAUGCUAUUGCAAAUUAUUAACUGUACACUUUAAUAUUCCAAAAUUAGGAUGCUGACAGUGCAAUCUGGUGCCUAAUUAUAUCACUAUGCUACACUUUAGGGCCUUGAGAAUGAUGCCUACAAGAAAGAGGAGCAAUUGUCAUGCCCACUGUAGACUACAUCUGUUCUAAGAGCUAGUAUCUUAUUAGUUAGUGUAGCCCUAACCUCACUAGUACUUAAAGCCAUGCUGGCCUUCUCCCACAGAAGGUCAGUGAUGAGUUCUUCUCUUACUGUGCAUAUAGCAAUACUACUUUGAUACUAUAAGUGCAACUUAGUUAUCUUUCUUACACUGUAGGCUUGAUACAUUGUCCUUUAGCACCUAUCUUAUAGGCUGCCACCUUACAGGUUAAAAGCACCUUGAAAAGGGAGUUAAAUAGCAUGUGAAAUUGUUGAAAGGGAAGCACUUGCAACCAGACUUGGUUCUGGGGGCUCAGCAGGCAUGCAUGCCCAUGUACUCCCCCAUCUCUGGGCCAGCAUCAGUUCAAGUGGCCAGUCAAAGGCCCUGGGAACAUAUCAUCCUCUGGGAUGCCUUAUAGCUUGGGGUGCAAUGCAGCCAGCUUGGACUGGGAAACACACCUUGGCAUGGAUGCUGGCAUAAUGGUUGUAAGCAACCUGUCUUGAAACAUGGACCAAGAAGUCUAACAUCCAUGCAAGUGUUUGAGUGUCAAACCUGUGCGUGCAGUGAAAGUGAAUGAAGGUGGAAGUCCAUGAGGGUGCACCAUCAACUGAUCCUGAAGUCUUUGGAUGGAUUUGAGUAAGAGUGUGGCUGUUGGGACCUGAAAGAUGAUGAACUAUGCCUGAAUAGGGUGAAGUCAGAGGAAACUCUGAUGGAGGCUUGCAGUGGUUCUGACAUGGAAAUUGAUUGUUAAAUUUGAAUAUAGAGGCAAAAGACUAAUUGAACCAUCUGAUAGCUGGUUCCUGCCAAAGUUUCCCUCAGGAUAGCAGUAAUGUUUUCAGUUUUAUGAGAUAAAGCAAAUGAUUAGAGACCUUGAGGUUGAAACAAUCUUAACCUAUUCUCAAACUUUAAAUAUGUAAGAAGCCUUUGUUGCUUAAGUAAAUGUGGGCAUUAGAAUGGAUCAUUACUAGUGGGCCAUUUUUGGUAAGCAGAACUGAUGAUGUGGGAUGAACCAAACAUGAGAUUAAGAUGCCAGAAUGCAUGCUCAUCAGACACCACAAAAGAUGUUAGUUCAUCUAGACAGCCCAACAGUGGCCAUGGAAGUUGGAAUCCACUAAGGAGUGUGUAACAACUCACAGAUCAAAUGAACUAGCCCUGAAAAUGGAUGGUGCUCAAGCAUGCUACCCAUACCUCACCAUCAGGGUAGAAAUAACACCCCAACAAGUAGGCAGGUGUGGAGAUAGAUGACAAAGCCCUGGGAGUGAUUCUGGGUUGAACAGCCUCUAGUGCAGAUCUUGGUGGUAGUAGUAAAUACUUCAAUAUGAACUUUGAAGACUGAAGUGGAGAAAGAUUCCAUGUGAACAGCAGUUGAACAUGAGUUAGUCAAUUCUAAGACAUGGAGUAGUUCUGUUUAGAAGCAUGCUCUGGUGUGCAAUUCAUUGAAAGAGAAGCCAGUUAAUAUUCCAGCAUCUGGAUGUGGAUUCUUCAUGGCAACAUAACUGAAUGCUGAGACAUCAGCAGAAGUUCUGGGAAGAGUUCUCUUUUCUUCUUGACAGCCCAUCACUCUGAAAUCAGUUUGUCUGGAGCUAGGGUUUCAUGGUCAGCAGAGUUCCACACCUUUGAAGAGUCCAGUGCACUCUCAAUGAUCCUUGAAAAUCUGCAGAAAGAAAUAGUUUUCACACCAGAUUGUACUCAUAAUCACAGCAGAUCUUCAAGGUGAAAAGCCUCUAGUUGAUAGAACAAUGUAGAUAAGGAAAGUCAGCAAAAUAGAUCCAUAAUUUCAGGAAAAGGAUUGACUCUAAGAGUCAGAUGUGUUGGGUCUUGGGGGAAAGUCUUCAGAGCAGAAGAGCACUAGCCAGGCAACUGAUGGGCAUCCCCCAGCAUCAGGGCGUGGACGCCCUUGGCAGGCUUUGGCUGUUCGGCGCGCACUUAACAACCAACUUAGAACUGGUAUGGACAAGGGGAAUCUGACUGUCUAAUUAAAACAUAGCAUUGCGAUGGCCAGAAAGUGGUGUUGAUGCAAUGUGAUUUCUGCCCAGUGCUCUGAAUGUCAAAGUGAAGAAAUUCAACCAAGCGCGGGUAAACGGCGGGAGUAACUAUGACUCUCUUAAGGUAGCCAAAUGCCUCGUCAUCUAAUUAGUGACGCGCAUGAAUGGAUUAACGAGAUUCCCACUGUCCCUAUCUACUAUCUAGUGAAACCACAGCCAAGGGAAU